RNAcentral lists this ribosomal RNA (450 nucleotides) under uncultured bacterium. RNAcentral describes it as "partial 16S ribosomal RNA". It matches the Rfam family "Bacterial small subunit ribosomal RNA", at positions 354 to 796 of the family's 1533-position model. The record is from RNAcentral.
GUGGGGAAUAUUGCGCAAUGGGCGAAAGCCUGACGCAGCGACGCCGCGUGAGGGAUGAAGGUUUUCGGAUCGUAAACCUCUGUCAGAAGGGAAGAAACUACGUUGUGCUAAUCAGCAGCGUACUGACGGUACCUUCAAAGGAAGCACCGGCUAACUCCGUGCCAGCAGCCGCGGUAAUACGGAGGGUGCAAGCGUUAAUCGGAAUUACUGGGCGUAAAGCGCACGUAGGCUGUAGUGUAAGUCAGGGGUGAAAUCCCACGGCUCAACCGUGGAACUGCCUUUGAUACUGCACAACUUGAAUCCGGGAGAGGGUGGCGGAAUUCCAGGUGUAGGAGUGAAAUCCGUAGAUAUCUGGAGGAACAUCAGUGGCGAAGGCGGCCACCUGGACCGGUACUGACGCUGAGGCGCGAAAGCGUGGGGAGCAAACAGGAUUAGAAACCCGUGUAGUCC